GCACUGUUUUUAGACUAGAAAGUAGCCUACAAUGGUAGUAAUGAAGACAUAGCCUACAUUAUAAUCGAAGGAACCGCAGAUAUUUGAGGACGUAACUAAUCGUCCCAGUGUCAGAUAUCUCAGCGUUACAGGCUGAUCAGAUAAAACAAAGAACAGUGUUUGAAACUCCGCCCUUGGUUUGCGUUGACCGAGUACUUUCAAGAUCCCAAAUCGUUUUUAGGUCCGGGUGGAGGGUCACAGUAGGCGCCCCUACACGUGUUUACGCUCGGAAAGGUCGAUCUGAAAGAAAGGAUCAUAUUCAUUCAAGAAACUGUCUGUAACUCUAACUGAAACUGCACUGGCUUCAGGCGUAAGUUACUAACCUACUGCUGAACGAACUUCAGGAGGAAAUGAAUUAAUGGAGCCGAGAGUACUGCACAAACUGGAAGUUGUAGAGCCGUCACUACUUGCGCAUUAGCCUAACUAUUCAGAUUGCACUGGAGAGUUGAACUUGUAGGUUUAAACAUGACGCUGUAGGCCUAUCUGUCGUUAACGUGACACAUAACGGAAAGCGCUGGGCUGGUAACAGGGCAAGUACUUUGAGACACUUUCAGUGGAGUUUGCGGUGAUUUAACGCACAUCCGUUGAGCAAAAACGUUAUACUCAAUGAGUGUAUUGAGGAGACUUGUUUAAUAUGAACGAAAAACCAGCGUUAGGAGAUAAACUACACGAGGAUCAAACUAAGGCGGACUUGGAGAACCAUGUGAAGUUGGAGGCGGGGGACGCGGAUCUGCCCGCCGAUAAUCAGAGUGAGCUGGACAGUCAUGUAGCGCUGCCACCCACCCAUCUGUACAAACGGCGCUGGAUGAUUGUCCUCCUGUUCAGCUCAUAUUCACUAUGCAACUCCUUCCAAUGGAUACAGUACGGCAUCAUCAACAACAUUUUCAUGAAAUUCUACAACGUGGGCACCUUCACUAUAGACUGGAUGUCUAUGAUCUACAUGCUGACAUACAUUCCCUUCAUCUUCCCGGUGACCUGGCUGCUGGACAAAAAGGGGCUCCGGGUCAUCGCGCUGGUGGCCACAGCGCUCAACUGUGCAGGGACAUGGAUCAAAGUGGCCAGCGUCAGACACAACCUAUUCGCCGUCACCUUUCUGGGACAGUUCUGCUGCUCGUUCGCGCAGGUGUUCAUCCUCGGGAUGCCGUCGAGAAUCGCGUCUGUGUGGUUUGGUUCAGAGGAAGUGUCAACCGCCUGCGCCAUCGGAGUCUUCGGGAAUCAGCUGGGUAUUGCAAUUGGGUUCCUUGUGCCUCCCAUUCUGGUGCCUAAUGUGGAAGACAUGGACGAGCUGGCUCACCACAUCAGUGUCAUGUUCUACAUCACAGCAGGAGUGGCUACCUUACUCUUCGUCCUUGUUGUCUUUGUCUUCCAGGAGCGACCUGAACUGCCUCCGACUCAGGCCCAGGCAACAGCUCGUAGCAUCCCACCAGAGCAGUACUCCUACACUGCCUCCAUCCUCAGACUGCUCCGCAACAGGCCCUUCAUCCUCCUCAUCAUCACUUAUGGUUUGAACGUGGGUUGUUUCUAUGCUGUUGGCACCCUUCUGAACCGCAUGAUCAUCGAGCAUUACCCUGGAGAAGAGGUGAAUGCUGGGAGGAUUGGCCUUACCAUUGUCAUUGCAGGGAUGGUCGGCUCACUGAUCUGUGGCGUUUGGUUGGACAAAACUAAAACCUACAAUUCACCUGUGUAUCAGAGGAAGAGUGCAAGACCUGCGUGCCCGCAGACAACCCUCGCAGUCUACUUCAUGUCUCUGGUGGGGAUGAUAGUCUAUGCUGCUACACUCGAUCUGGGACGCCUCUGGGUGGUCUUCAUCACCGCUGGAGCACUUGGGUUCUUCAUGACAGGCUACCUGCCACUGGGCUUUGAGUUUGCGGUGGAGCUGACCUACCCAGAGUCAGAGGGAACCUCAUCCGGACUACUCAACUGUUCGGCACAGGUGUUUGGCAUUAUAUUCACCAUCUGCCAGGGGAAGAUCAUCGACAGCUUUGGCACACUUGCAGGAAACAUCUUCCUCUGUGUCUUUCUUCUAAUCGGUACAAUAAUGACAGGUUUAAUCAAGUCUGAUCUACGGAGACAAAAUGCAAACCUUCUGGCCAAAGCAACAGCAGCGGAGGCGCAGAAGUCAGGACACGACUACGGAGCCACGGCGCUCAUCUCCCAGCCACAGACUCUUCCUUCUCAAGCCUGAUCAAUGCACCUUUCUGCUUCCACAAAAAUCAAAUCUUACACAAAGAUGCACAAAGGGACCUUCCGACUGCCACAAUGGGAGCCUGGCUGCACCUUCUGUCGUCAAAGAAGCAGUUUUAGACGCACAUGCACUAUCAUAAAAGUUUUGAGCAUAGAAAUUCCCUGCUCAGAAAUAUCUUUUUAUAUUUAAGUGUAAAUUAAAUGCUGUCCCUAAAUCUGCAAGACAAAUGUAUGAAAUGUUUGUUUGUGAGUUGAUCAUUUUACCUAUCAGUAUGUUAAAAGUAUACAGUUGAUUAUGUGCUGUGUGUGUGUGUAUGUGUAUAUAUGUGUGUAUAUAUAUAUACAUAUAUUUGCCAAAAUGGAUAUACACAAAUUUUGUCAUUGCGUAAACCGUUAACCAUGUAAAUCCAGGAUCCACAGUUUUACAAGUGACUUUGGUAGAAAAUCCAUUCAGCAGAUGACAGACAGUUGUGUAAUAUGUGUAACAUUAUUCAUGUUUACUUAUUUAACAUCAAAUAAAACUGUUGUACGAUGUUUCUUUACUUCAUCGGGUGUCACGUUUUACGUUACUGCGGAUGUCAUGGUGAAGCUACCUGACUGAGCCAUAGACGAUUGGACAACCAUAACCCAGUAUACCCAGAUGGCACACCUCCAAAACAAGUCAGGGAAACGGGACCUGCAUGAUCAUACGGUGAAUGUGACAAUGGCAUUUCUCACUGUGUUAUCACGAUACAGAUGCCACUGAUUACAACAUCAGACAUGUAUAAAAAUUAAGGGCACAGGUAAAUGCACACGCAUACAGCAGUUAUCUCUCUUGAGCAAUUGCAGCAUGACAUGUUGACCAGAAGGCACAGGUUUUACAAGAGUAGAAAAAAAUAACCAAGGAAGCAGAUGUGGAUAAUGUUUCAGUCAUUUCAAGUACAAUUUUGAUGUACUUCUGACUGACAACUGUAGUUACCAGUUGGUUUUCAAAUGAAGAUUUUACUUUCUUUUUUAAAACAUAUAAGCUUAUAAAUACAAUACAAACCCUCACAAAAAAGCACCGUGUACUCUGGGCCCCAGAGUCUCUGGUUUCAUUUAAAUAAUUGCCUGAGGCUCAAAGAGGUCAGUGUCACAAAAAUCAAAGAAUAGAGAAAAAUAACUAUAUAUUUAUGUGUAUUGACUUCUCUUGCUCAACUAUAACCAUAAUCUGCUUUUGACUGCAGGACUUUUACUUGUAAUGGCCCAAUUUCUUUUACAUGGUUGGCCACAUGGUGGCAGCAUUGUUACAACAGGGCUGACUCCUCAAAUGAACUGAAGGCCCAGAAGGAUUUGAGUGAGGAGCCCAAGAGGAGAAAACAUAAUUAAAGUACAUUGUUGAUAUAGUUAGUAUUCUGAGUGUCCCAUUAACUGUUUAUACUGUGAUUUAAUCAACUUUGAAAAUCUCUCCUACGGUGUAACCUGAAUAAAGGGGAUAUCUGCUGA
Micropterus salmoides (largemouth bass) is the source of this 3687-nucleotide RNA transcript. It is a transcript of the gene named feline leukemia virus subgroup C receptor-related protein 2-like, with no coding region annotated. The record is from RefSeq and is a predicted model, not a curated record. NCBI's taxonomy places the organism in Eukaryota, Metazoa, Chordata, Actinopteri, Centrarchiformes, Centrarchidae. The transcript has 12 exons.